This 145-nucleotide microRNA precursor is filed under the name Camelina sativa (false flax). Its description in RNAcentral is "miR396a stem-loop (cas-MIR396a)". Its record names the gene cas-MIR396a. It matches the Rfam family "MIR396 microRNA precursor family". Lineage: Eukaryota; Viridiplantae; Streptophyta; Magnoliopsida; Brassicales; Brassicaceae. The record is from miRBase by way of RNAcentral.
CUGUAUUCUUCCACAGCUUUCUUGAACUGCAAAAUUUCUUCAGAUUUGUUUUAUAUCUAUUGCGCGUAUAAAAAAUAGUGAUUUUUUUUUUCACAUCUCCUGGAUCAAUUGAUUUGCGGUUCAAUAAAGCUGUGGGAAGAUACAG